Equus caballus (horse) is the source of this 7622-nucleotide long non-coding RNA. The record is from Ensembl. NCBI's taxonomy places the organism in Eukaryota, Metazoa, Chordata, Mammalia, Perissodactyla, Equidae.
GGCUUCCCAGCACCAGCAUGCAGGGACCACUCCAGGGGGUCCUAGUGGGGGCCUGAGGGGUUGAGGAGGGGAUGGGUCCCAAGAUCCCUGCCCAGAGUGAGCCCCAGUAGGACCCUGAGAAUUUGGUGUUGGAGGGGCACCAGGCUGAGGGAGGAGGGCCAGUCCCCAAGAGAAGACGGGGGGUCCACCCCCAGCUCCUUCCCUGCCCCUGCCUGCUGGAGGGCACCAAAAACACCUUCGACCUAGACCAGCUGGCUGUUUCAAAGCCCUUUCAGGCCCUGGACAAGGACAGAGGUCCCCAUUUUACUGAAACUCUUGUUUUCCACCAAAAUCAGUCAGCCUCAAUUCUUGAGGGUCCUCGGAGUCCCCCUGAAGAGCCUCAGAGGGAGGAGGCAUGGGGAGGGGUUACAGACCUGGAAGGCUGUGGACACUGUCCCCCCAGGGCUGGCACAUCUGAUCACCCCCCAGCCCUGAGCAGCUGCAAAGCACCACUUCCUCCCCUUCCCCCAGCCCUCCUCUGGGUCCCUCUCCCCCCCAUCCAGGUCCCAGAGAAAAGAGAGCCCCACCCCGCACGGCAUCCCACUUCCUGCAUCUGUCACCUGCGCCGCUCAGAUCCCUGUCCCCAAUGAGGAAGCAGAGGUGACUCCACCGCUGUGCUGGCUCCCCCCUCCCCCACCCCUGGUUCCGGGCACCUGACUCCACAUCAUUCAUCCUCAAGGCUGGCGCCUUUCCGUCAACGCCGAAGCCACCAAGACCCUCCGUGUUAACAUGAGCGCCCCGAGCUCGCCUCCCUGUCGGCCCCCUUUCCUCACGGCCACCCUCUAGAGAGAGAUGUCCACGCCCGGCUCCGCUUCCUCCUCCCUUCCUCCCUUCCUCAUUCCUCAGUCCCUGGCUGCCCUGCAACCGCUCAGAGCUCUUCUCUGCUGCGCCAGGUCCGCUCUGUCCUCCUCUUCCCUGCUCCCCCCGAGCGUCCACCUCUUCCGCAGUUCCUGUCCCCCUCGAAGCUCCCUCUGUCUGUCUGGGUCACACUGCUGGAGUUCUCCCUCUGCGAGUGGCAGACAGCGGGAUGGGGCAGAACGAGGGCACUGGCAUCAGACACCCUGGUUCAAAGAGGCCUCGCUGCCUGCCAGCUGGGCGGCCUUGACCACAUCCCUUCACCCUCGGUGCCUCGGUCUCCUCAGCUGUAAAGUGGGGGGACAGCAUGGAAGGGACCUCUUGGAUCCUGUGAGGAUUCAGAAGUACGUGCCCUCCCUUAGCACGGACCGGCGCAGAGCGCCUGCUGCUCGGAGCAGCGGGAGGGGGCACCGGUUCUGGGCUCUGCCUGGUGGCCCGUGGCACUGGGCCACCAGUGACAGCAGUGGGCCAGGUAGCCACGGGCUUUGGGCAGCGAGGGUGACCUGGGAAUGCCAGUGAUCUUAGAAGCCCCAGGCACGCUCAGCCAGUCCAUGCAUUGCUCUUCCUGGGCAUGGGGUGGGGACAUUUCGAGGGGUUCAGUCAUGUGCACGGAAUACUGUGUUUUCCCCUCUGCUGCCACUGCUCCCAAGGAGGUCGAGUCGCCCCAGCCCACCCUACUCUGGGCAUCUCUAUCCAGAGCAUGGAGGCCCCUGGGGCAUAGGGGUGCGGGCUGGCCACAGAUGGGUUAACUCCUGGCCUGGCUCCUAGACAGGAUGCUUCCUAGGGCACACAAUGCCCCCUCCACUCCUUGCCUUUCCUUGGUCCCCAGAGCAGCAGGCACCCCUCCCUUCUCACAUCCCCCUCCACUCCCUCUGACCGACCGAAGGGGACAGAGGGCUCCCCCAGGUGGCCAAAUGUGCCAAGGCCAGAAGCUGGGGAGUCUGCAAGGACUGGCUUCAAGCAUCCUGCCCCUUCAGCCCCGUAAAUACGUCUGCAUGGUCAAGACUAGGUGUUCCAAUUUGGGGUUCGGAAAAAUCAGGUCCCCUGUAUGUGUAUUGGUAUCUGUAUGAAACCAGCAAUGUGUGUGAUCCACGUGUUGUGAAGUAUUCCUAGCCAGAUGGUAGGGAAUUGCUUGCAGCCAUUCUGAACACCGGGGGAGGAUUAUCUGCAGGGCCUGGCCUAACACUCUGCCUUGUGUCGUGGGUCACAGGAUGCAGAGGCAUGGGGACAGGAAGCAGAGCGCAGAGGCCCAGCUAGAAGCCAAAAACACACCAGUACCAGUAAUCACCACCAUUUACCACAGGCCUUCUGUGUGUCUGUCACCAUGCCCUGGGCUUUCCUUCCUUCGUUUCCUUUACUUCUCACAACCACCUAGGAAACAGACAUUAUUAUUAUCCUCACUGAGCAGAUGGGGAAACUGAGGCUCAGUGAAGUUAAAUCCCUUGUCUAAAAUCACACAGCUAGGUGAAGACUGAAUUGGAGCUCAGACAUGUCUGACUCCAAAUGCCUUGCUCUUAUGCAAGUCUGCCUAUGCACGGGAAGAUCAUCUGGCAGAGAACUAAGAGAGACAUGAGUAUACUCACGAGACGCUCAUGGGGGAGGCUGGACAACUCCUUCCCACCCCAAGAGCACACACAGCAGGUGCUCAGCAGAAGCAGGUGGAACUACGACGGGUCAGUUACACAGCACAGUGAAUACAUGCAUAUGUACAUACAUACAUACAUGUAUACAUACAUGUGAGAGAAAGGGGAGGUAAACCAGCGGGCCCUCCAAGGUGUGCACACAGGCCGGGGGGCCUGAUACCUGCCCAUGAAUGCAGGCAGGCUCUGGACUUGGGUAUUGGUCCUUCUAGAAUGUGGACACCUGGACACCAUGGAGUGCACUAAGAUCCAGAGGGUUCCAGCGAUGCUGCAGCCUACCCUCGGCUCACUGGCAGGCCGAGGCCCAGUGUUCUCAACCCAGACAGGUUCUGGUGAUAGCCACACACGAGCAGGGACACAUAUAUGAAUGUGGGCUCCAUCACACACGCCCCCCCACACAUACAUCUUCCCAAGACAGAGCCUGCUGCCGCCAUCUGUUCUGUGCAGACACAGUCGAAGUCUUGGGCACAGAGUCCAGCUCACACUGACAAGUACACACACACACACACACACACACACACACACACACACACAUACAUAGAGCUCUCAGAGAGAAGGGAAGAAAGGUCGAGCUGUCUGGGGGGCUGAAAGUCGCUGCAGCCCCAUAGACACUGGGGCCUAAGCCCUGGCAUCAACCCCCUGGGUGGCAGAGUCUGUCCUCAGGGGGCCCCCUCCCACCUUCCCAGGCCGGGAGACUGUCUUCUGCCCUCCCAUUUGAAAGGCUCGGCCCAGGCCUGAAAUGCCCAGGAUGACCACCAGGGGGCGCGUGAGCAUUGAAUAAUCCUUUCAGCCAGGCCUCCUCCCCAAACCCUCCUUCAUUCAUUCUUAAAUAUGUAUAAAGCCCCCCUUCUGUGCCUAUGCUUCUGUGGGACUGGAGGUUACGGGGAAGGCGUUGGUGGGGGUCUGGGUCAGAACUAACAGCUAGAAUGUACUGAGCACCGGCUGUGUUCAAGCUCUUCUAGAUUUUCAUAUGCAUUGACUCACUUAAUCCACAACUGUAUGAACUAGGUACUCCCAUUCUUCUGCUCUUAUUGUGGCUAUUGUGGGUGCAGUAGAGCAGGUAUAAUGACAGUGACUUACCCCACAGAGUUGUUAGAAGAAUUAAAUGGAUCAAUAGGCUUAUGUGCAAACCACUCGGAACACUGCCCAGUUGUCAGCACCAUCCCCAUUUUACAGAUGGGGAAACCAAGGCACAGUUAACAAGGAGUGGCCUCAGGAUUCAAUCCUGAGCAGGCUGUUUCCAGAGUAUGGCCUUACUGAGUUACUAGACCCCCUGGGGUCCAGCAGGUCCAAUCAGGGGGUCCUGGGGGCCAUGGGGGGCCACUGGAGAAUUUUAGCAGGGAAGGGACAAGACCUAGUUUGCAUUUCAUGCUGGCUGUAGGGUGGGCCAGCCUGGUGGCAGGCGGACUGGUCAGUUGGAGGCCGUCACCAUGGUCCCAGCUGUGACAAGGAUGGCAGUGGAGGGGUAGAGGGGAGAAGACAGAUUUGAGAGAUAUUAAGGAAGCAGCCUGAAGGGUCUUGGUGACCAAUUUCAUGCCAGAGCUGGGGGAGGGAAGAGGCAGAAAGCAGUGGAUGGGGAAGAAGACCGGGGAGAGGGUAGGAGCGUGUGGGGCAUCUGAAGGGAGAAAUGUGUGGGUCCCCAACCUGCCCUCUGGCCUUGCCCUGGGGGAGGGCUCCUCACCCUCAUGGCUGAAGAAGAUAAAGGAAAAGCAGCCCCCAGAGCCCUCUGCCCCAUCUUUCCUGGAAAGCCUGGGAACAGAGUGAGGGCUAGGAACCCUAAACUCUGGCUCCCUUCUGUUCACAGCCUAUGGGGCUCUGGGCUCCACAGGCAUGGCACUGUGCUGGUCUGUCCCAUCCCACCCUGCACCCUGGCCCUUGCUCACAGGGCAGGACCUGGGACUCCCACCCACCCUCUCUGGCUGCUUGUCCCCAGCACUGGGACAGAGUGAAAACAUCCCCCUCCCCUCCCAGACACAUGGAGGCUUCAGCCUUACAGAGCUUUCUCCUCUACAGGAUCACACUGAACCCUCACAACGACCUGGGAGUAGCCCUUAUUAUCUUGGAUUCACAACUGAGGGGCCACCUCAGACACAGGUAAAGGGGCCUGCCCUGGGCUACACAGCUUGUGCCUGGACCAGCCUUCUGCCGGGACUUUUGCAUAAAUCAUGGGCUCUUACCCCCUCCACUCCCAGCACCACCAGGCCCUUGGUGGCCAUCUUGGGGAGGUGGAGGCAGCUCUGCCCUGCAGCUUACUUGUCUCUGUGCAGAGCUGAGAAUGGGGCUGAGACUGGGGCAUGGUGUGGAGUCACCAGGGCUCCAGGUAGAGGAACCGGGAGCCGUGGGGAACCAGCUGGGGCACCGGGUCUCCCAAAGGGACCGGGUGGAGUGGGAGGUGCCUAGGGUAGCAAGUGGGGACAAAGAGAGCGCCAGCACACCUGGCAGCCAAGCAGCCAAGGAGCUGAGCCCGCCAGUCCAGAUUCAAAGCCGAGCUGAGGCUGUGAUUGGUGGCCAGGGUCCCUCACUCCACCCCUUCUCUCUCACCUCCCAGGCAGCUGGGAAAGGGGGAUGGAGCUGAGAAGGCCCCUCAUCAUAAAUCCUCAAGCACUGAGGGGUGGCCUGGCUGGCAGUGAACUCAAUUAACUCCCUCUCGUGCCCCAAGCCCUGCCGGGACCCUGUCUGCCGUUCUGGGGCCGCCAUCAGCCCUGAUGGCUCCCCAAGCUGCCAGGCUUGGGUGGCCCAAGCCUCAGGUCACCCAACCACCCCUCCUCUGAGGCGUCCUUCAGCCCGCGGCCUCCUCCGCUCCUUUCCCCCCAGCUCGUCCUCUCGGAGUGUGCCCUGUUCUCUGACCCCUCUCCCCGUCUAGGCUCCCGGAAGGGGCAGCUUCCUGGGCCCUAGCCCCUUUCCAUUUGGGCACCCUGGCCCUCCCGUGCCCGGAAACUCUGCUCUCCAGGCCUCCCCACGGGGCGGCGGCCGAGGCCUCUCUGCCCGGGCCCCGGGGGACCCUGCGCGCAGCUGGGCCGCGGCGGCGGUGGGGCCGCUGGGUGCACAGGUUGCCGGGCUCCGCGGAGGGCUGGCCGAGGGGGCUGGGCAGGAACCCGGCUCCGUCCGGCGCCCCGCCCCCGGCGCAGAUGGCGCGGCCGCGGGCGGGUCCCGGCCGCCGGUUUGGGCUCGGGUUUCGGCCGCGAGGGGCGGGGCGGGCUCGAGGGGCCUGCUGAGGCCGCGGCCAAUCAGCGCCCGGCCGGACUCCCCAGCCGCCAAUCCCGGCCUGGCCCGGCCGCCCCCGCCCCACCGCGUCCUUUGUUCCCGCUCUCCCUGGCGGCCCCCGGCGCGGCCCUCGCGGCCUUGGCCCUGCGACUUCCGGCGCACGCGGACCGGGCUGUGUGCACGCCCCCGUGUACUCGGUGUGUGCACGCGCGUGUGCAGGGCCUGCCCCUGCCUGCCCCAGGGACAUUGUGGGCCUCGCUGCCAGGCACAGGCCUGCCCGUGGCCUUGCUCACUCGUGUAGCCGCAGCCGCCCGAAGGACCCCCCGUGUGCCUGGCCAAAGCCCCAGAGAGUUCUUUCGAGAGCCUUAACUUCGACCACGGGCGGGGGGCUACGAGUGAGCCCCAGGAUCUGGGCAGAGGUCCAGCUCAGGCCGCACCUUUCCUUCCUGGGCCAUGGUUGGUUUUCCUCACUCACGCUUCCUUGUCUUGGCCUGGCUGCUUCCCCCUUUCAGAUACAUUCACCUAAUGAACUCAGAGCCGUCCUUCCAGACCUGUCUUGGGGAGUGCAUCCUCUGUGGAGUCGCAGGUGCCUCCCUCUGCUGCCCCCCAUCAAGCCCCCACCCAGCACGUGGUCCCCUCUAGUCUGGAUUUGUGGCAUCUGCAGCAGUGAGCCCCUGAGGGACCCAGGCUCAGUAACUCCAGCGCCUGGCAGAGCAUGGUGGUCCCUGCAUGUCUACUCAAGGGGCAGCAACAAGCCCUUGUCCUGAGCACUUCAGGGGUCGCACUGCUCCUUCAGGCCUAAUCUUGGUUCCACCUGAGACUGAGGAUGUUAUCCCAGGCCUGUUAUAAGGAUAAAAAGAACUGAAAUCUUUGAAGAUCAGAGGGCCACGCCAUGGACAGCCCUCCCAGAAUUCGGAAGGCUGCCAUUUCCGAAUUCCCAAAUCCAGUGGACACUCCUCUUGCUUUCUCUCCCCCUCCUUGCAGUCCCUUCCCUUGACCCCUGAGCCUUCUACUCAGGACUCCAACCUCAGUCCCCUUUCUGCCCUUAUUCUCUCCACCUUCCAUGACUCAUCCACUCCCAGACCUCCAUCUGUCCUGCCCUGCCCUGUCUCUUGGGUCCCCUGAAGACCUCCACCUGGACAUCCCUGAAACAUGUCAAACCCAGUUUGUGUCAAACUCAAGGUCCUCAUCCCACCACAUCUGCUCCUAUACCUAUAAAGGACUCACACCCUCACCAUUUCCCAGGCCAGACACCUGGGUGUCAUCCCCAGCCCCUCGCCCACCAGCCAGGUGACCAGUUGUGUGGCUCUCAAAUCUGGCUGCCCUGCUUCCCCAGGGCCAGCGCCUUGGCCCACACUCUUCCACUUUUUGUCUGUUCUCAUAGGCCUCUGUGCUCUCGGCCCCUACAGUCUGCAGGGCCCACUGCUCGCAAGGUUCCUUCUCCCACCACCCUCAGCCUCCAGUCUCCACUCCUGGGUAUAACAGACAGGGCCCUGCCGUCCAGCCCUGCCUGCCUUCCUGUCUCAGCCACAGGCACACAGAAUUAUGUCAGUUGAAGCCCUUGACACAGGCUAGGAGGUUGGGAGCGGGUCCACCUUCCCAGGGCCCCAUAAUAGAAGCAGUGCUAGGCACUGGGGUGAUCAGAGGAACAGCUAAGGCUGGGGAGUAGACUGAUUCAGCAAACAGCCUCUGCAAACAGGCACAUCUGGGUCUGGAUCCUGGCUCUGCACAUGUCCACUUUGUGACUUUGGCUCUGUUACUCACCCUCUCUGGCUCUCACAUCCCUGAUGGGUUUAAUAUGACCUCUUUGAGGGGCUAGAGGAGAACUUAGGAUCUGAGGCCAAGAGUGGGCUGGAGCUGCCUCUUCUCCCAGGUACUCCCCAG